GACGAAGGUGGCUAGCGUUGUUCGGUGUCACUGGGCUUAAAGCGUGUGUAGGCGGAAGCGUAAGCGCUUUGUGAAAUCCCUCAGCUUAACUGAGGAAUUGCUUGGCGAACUGCGUUUCUUGAGGCAAGCAGGGGUGCAUAGAACUCUUGGUGGAGCGGUGGAAUGCGUAGAUAUCAAGAGGAAUGCCGAUGGUGAAAACAGUGCACUGGGCUUGUCCUGACGCUGAGACACGAAAGCGUGGGGAGCGAACGGGAUUAGAUACCCCGGUAGUCCACGCCGUAAACGAUGUCUACUAGGCUGUGGUAGUUCUGACACUGUCACGGCCGAAGCUAAAGUGUUAAGUAGACCGCCUGGGGAGUACGGUCGCAAGGCUAAA
This 376-nucleotide ribosomal RNA is filed under the name uncultured bacterium. Its description in RNAcentral is "bacterial SSU rRNA". It matches the Rfam family "Bacterial small subunit ribosomal RNA", at positions 524 to 898 of the family's 1533-position model. The record is from RNAcentral.